This 477-nucleotide ribosomal RNA is filed under the name uncultured bacterium. Its description in RNAcentral is "partial 16S ribosomal RNA". It matches the Rfam family "Bacterial small subunit ribosomal RNA", at positions 355 to 824 of the family's 1533-position model. The record is from RNAcentral.
UGGGGAAUAUUGCACAAUGGGCGCAAGCCUGAUGCAGCCAUGCCGCGUGUGUGAAGAAGGCCUUCGGGUUGUAAAGCACUUUCAGCGAGGAGGAAGGUGGUGAACUUAAUACGUUCAUCAAUUGACGUUACUCGCAGAAGAAGCACCGGCUAACUCCGUGCCAGCAGCCGCGGUAAUACGGAGGGUGCAAGCGUUAAUCGGAAUUACUGGGCGUAAAGCGCACGCAGGCGGUUUGUUAAGUCAGAUGUGAAAUCCCCGGGCUCAACCUGGGAACUGCAUUUGAAACUGGCAAGCUAGAGUCUCGUAGAGGGGGGUAGAAUUCCAGGUGUAGCGGUGAAAUGCGUAGAGAUCUGGAGGAAUACCGGUGGCGAAGGCGGCCCCCUGGACGAAGACUGACGCUCAGGUGCGAAAGCGUGGGGAGCAAACAGAUUAGNUACCCUGGUAGUCCACGCUGUAAAACGAUGUCGAUUUUGGAGG